This 563-nucleotide ribosomal RNA is filed under the name uncultured Glomeromycotina. RNAcentral's name for it is "SSU rRNA". It matches the Rfam family "Eukaryotic small subunit ribosomal RNA", at positions 548 to 1114 of the family's 1831-position model. The record is from RNAcentral. Lineage: Eukaryota; Fungi; Glomeromycota.
UUGGAGGGCAAGUCUGGUGCCAGCAGCCGCGGUAACUCCAGCUCCAAUAGCGUAUAUUAAAGUUGUUGCAGUUAAAAAGCUCGUAGUUGAAUUUCGGGGUUAGUAGGUUGGUCAUGCCACUGGUAUGUACUGGUCUCACUGAUUCCUCCUUCCUGAUGAGCCGUAAUGCCAUUAAUUCGGUGUUGCGAGGAAUCUGGACUGUUACUUUGAAAAAAUUAGUGUGUUUAAAGCAAGCUAACGCUUGAAUACAUUAGCAUGGAAUAAUGAAAUAGGACGUUCGAUCCUAUUUUGUUGGUUUCUAGGAUUGACGUAAUGAUUAAUAGGGAUAGUUGGGGGCAUUAGUAUUCAAUCGUCAGAGGUGAAAUUCUUGGAUUUAUUGAAGACUAACUACUGCGAAAGCAUUUGCCAAGGAUGUUUUCAUUAAUCAAGAACGAAAGUUAGGGGGUCGAAGACGAUCAGAUACCGUCGUAGUCUUAACCAUAAACUAUGCCGACUAGGGAUCGGAUGAUGUUAUUUUUAAUGACUCAUUCGGCGCCUUACGGGAAACCAAAGUGUUUGGGUUC